AUGGCUCAGAUUGAACGCUGGCGGCAGGCCUAACACAUGCAAGUCGAGCGGCAGCACGGGUACUUGUACCUGGUGGCGAGCGGCGGACGGGUGAGUAAUGCCUAGGAAUCUGCCUGGUAGUGGGGGAUAACGUUCGGAAACGAACGCUAAUACCGCAUACGUCCUACGGGAGAAAGCAGGGGACCUUCGGGCCUUGCGCUAUCAGAUGAGCCUAGGUCGGAUUAGCUAGUUGGUGAGGUAAUGGCUCACCAAGGCGACGAUCCGUAACUGGUCUGAGAGGAUGAUCAGUCACACUGGAACUGAGACACGGUCCAGACUCCUACGGGAGGCAGCAGUGGGGAAUAUUGGACAAUGGGCGAAAGCCUGAUCCAGCCAUGCCGCGUGUGUGAAGAAGGUCUUCGGAUUGUAAAGCACUUUAAGUUGGGAGGAAGGGCAGUUACCUAAUACGUAAUUGUUUUGACGUUACCGACAGAAUAAGCACCGGCUAACUCUGUGCCAGCAGCCGCGGUAAUACAGAGGGUGCAAGCGUUAAUCGGAAUUACUGGGCGUAAAGCGCGCGUAGGUGGUUCGUUAAGUUGGAUGUGAAAUCCCCGGGCUCAACCUGGGAACUGCAUUCAAAACUGUCGAGCUAGAGUAUGGUAGAGGGUGGUGGAAUUUCCUGUGUAGCGGUGAAAUGCGUAGAUAUAGGAAGGAACACCAGUGGCGAAGGCGACCACCUGGACUGAUACUGACACUGAG
Molecule: ribosomal RNA, 738 nt
Filed under: Pseudomonas sp. 120221_PC_C3_E8
Lineage: Bacteria; Pseudomonadati; Pseudomonadota; Gammaproteobacteria; Pseudomonadales; Pseudomonadaceae
Also listed under: 1 other name
Description: bacterial SSU rRNA
Rfam family: Bacterial small subunit ribosomal RNA
Source: RNAcentral